AUUGAACGCUGGCGGCAUGCCUUACACAUGCAAGUCGAACGGCAGCACGGACUUCGGUCUGGUGGCGAGUGGCGAACGGGUGAGUAAUGUAUCGGAACGUACCUUUCAGUGGGGGAUAACGUAGCGAAAGUUACGCUAAUACCGCAUAUUCUGUGAGCAGGAAAGCAGGGGAUCGCAAGACCUUGCGCUGAUUGAGCGGCCGAUAUCAGAUUAGCUAGUUGGUGAGGUAAAGGCUCACCAAGGCGACGAUCUGUAGCGGGUCUGAGAGGAUGAUCCGCCACACUGGAACUGAGACACGGUCCAGACUCCUACGGGAGGCAGCAGUGGGGAAUUUUGGACAAUGGGGGCAACCCUGAUCCAGCCAUGCCGCGUGAGUGAAGAAGGCCU
RNAcentral lists this ribosomal RNA (387 nucleotides) under uncultured bacterium. RNAcentral describes it as "bacterial SSU rRNA". It matches the Rfam family "Bacterial small subunit ribosomal RNA", at positions 30 to 417 of the family's 1533-position model. The record is from RNAcentral.